UACGUAGGUGGCAAGCGUUGUCCGGACUUACUGGGUGUAAAGGGCGUGUAGCCGGGCUUACAAGUCAGAUGUGAAAUCCGGGGGCUCAACCCCCGAACUGCAUUUGAAACUGUAGGUCUUGAGUAUCGGAGAGGCAGGCGGAAUUCCUAGUGUAGCGGUGAAAUGCGUAGAUAUUAGGAGGAACACCAGUGGCGAAGGCGGCCUGCUGGACGACAACUGACGGUGAGGCGCGAAAGCGUGGGGAGCAAACAGG
This 253-nucleotide ribosomal RNA is filed under the name uncultured bacterium. RNAcentral's name for it is "partial 16S ribosomal RNA". It matches the Rfam family "Bacterial small subunit ribosomal RNA", at positions 524 to 776 of the family's 1533-position model. The record is from RNAcentral.